Molecule: non-coding RNA, 46 nt
Organism: Trichobilharzia regenti
Lineage: Eukaryota; Metazoa; Platyhelminthes; Trematoda; Strigeidida; Schistosomatidae
Source: Rfam
UCCUUGGUGUUUUUAAACACCAUAAAUAUUUUGUUUUUAUAAAUAU